RNAcentral lists this transfer RNA (63 nucleotides) under Limonius californicus. Its description in RNAcentral is "tRNA-Cys". The record is from RNAcentral. Lineage: Eukaryota; Metazoa; Arthropoda; Insecta; Coleoptera; Elateridae.
GGUCUUGUAGUCAAAGAUGAUUUCAAAUUGCAAAUUUGAAGGUGGGAGUAUUCCUCAAGGCUU